CUCAUGGAGAGUUUGAUCCUGGCUCAGGAUGAAUGCUGGUGGCAUGCUUAACACAUGCAAGUUAGAUGGGAAGUGGUGUUUCCAGUGGCGUACGGGUGAGUAACAUGUAAGAACCUGCCCUUGGGAGGGGGACAACAGCUGGAAACGACUGCUAAUACCCCAUAGGCUGAGGAGAAAAAGGAGGAAUCCACCCAAGGAGGGGCUCGC
Molecule: non-coding RNA, 207 nt
Organism: Picea glauca (white spruce)
Lineage: Eukaryota; Viridiplantae; Streptophyta; Pinopsida; Pinales; Pinaceae
Source: Rfam